AGUGAACGCUGGCGGCGUGCUUAACACAUGCAAGUCGAACGAGAACGGGAUAUAGCUUGCUAUAUUUGUCAGCUAAGUAGCGCACGGGUGAGUAAUGUAUAGGUAAUAUGCCUCUUACUAAGGGAUAACAAUUGGAAACGAUUGCUAAUACCUUAUAUGCCUUUAAGACUAAAUUCUGCAAGGGAAAGAUUUAUUUGUAAGAGAUUAGCCUUGAUUGUAUCAGCUAGUUGGUGAGGUAAUGGCUCACCAAGGCUAUGAAGCAUAACUGGUUUGAGAGGAUGAUCAGUCACACUGGAACUGAGACACGGUCCAGACUCCUACGGGAGGCAGCAGUGGGGAAUAUUGCACAAUGGACGAAAGUCUGAUGCAGCAACGCCGCGUGGAGGAUGACACAUUUCGGUGCGUAAACUCCUUUUAUAUAGGAAGAUAAUAACGGUACUAUACGAAUAAGCACCAGCUAACUCCGUGCCAGCCGCCGCGGUAA
RNAcentral lists this ribosomal RNA (484 nucleotides) under uncultured bacterium. Its description in RNAcentral is "partial 16S ribosomal RNA". It matches the Rfam family "Bacterial small subunit ribosomal RNA", at positions 29 to 523 of the family's 1533-position model. The record is from RNAcentral.